RNAcentral lists this ribosomal RNA (444 nucleotides) under uncultured bacterium. Its description in RNAcentral is "bacterial SSU rRNA". It matches the Rfam family "Bacterial small subunit ribosomal RNA", at positions 28 to 505 of the family's 1533-position model. The record is from RNAcentral.
GGUGAACGCUGGCGGUGCGCCUAAUACAUGCAAGUCGAACGAGAAGCUGGAUUUAUUCAGUGGAAAGUGGCGGACGAGCGAGUAACACGUAAGAACCUGCCCUCUACUCAGGGAUAACUGGUCGAAAGAUCAGCUAAUACCGGAUAGUUCCCGAAAGGGUAAAGAUUUAUCGGUAGAGGAGGGGCUUGCGGCCUAUCAGUUUGUUGGUGAGGUAAAGGCUCACCAAGACUAUGACGGGUAGCUGAUGUGAGAGCAUGAUCAGCCGCGAUGGAACUGAGACACGGUCCAUACUCCUACGGGAGGCAGCAGUAAGGAAUCUUCCGCAAUGGGCGAAAGCCUGACGGAGCGACACCGCGUGGUGGAUGACGGCCUAUGGGUUGUAAACACCUUUUCUAUGGGAAGAAGAUCUGACGGUACCAUAGGAAUAAGCCCCGGCUAAUUACG